RNAcentral lists this unclassified non-coding RNA (329 nucleotides) under soil metagenome. Its description in RNAcentral is "partial contains 5.8S ribosomal RNA, internal transcribed spacer 2, and large subunit ribosomal RNA". The stretch from base 1 to 120 matches the Rfam family "5.8S ribosomal RNA", at positions 35 to 154 of the family's 154-position model. The record is from RNAcentral.
GAUGAAGAACGCAGCGAAAUGCGAUAAGUAGUGUGAAUUGCAGAAUUCAGUGAAUCAUCGAAUCUUUGAACGCACAUUGCGCCCCUUGGUAUCCCGAGGGGCAUGCCUGUUCGAGCGUCAUUUCACCACUGAAGCCUGGCUUGGUGUUGGGCGACGUCCUCUUUGGGGACGCGCCUCGAAACGCUCGGCGGCGUGGCACCGGCUUUAAGCGUAGCAGAAUCUUUCGCUUUGGAAGUCGGGGCCCCGUCUGCCGGAAGACCUGCUCGCAAGGUUGACCUCGGAUCAGGCAGGGAUACCCGCUGAACUUAAGCAUAUCAAUAAGCGGAGGA